GACAGUAUUCUCAGUUCUUUAUGACCUCUACCACAAAAAGAGUCUCUGGAAUCCAUAUGGACAGUCUUGCAGAUCUGCUGCCUUGAGAGGAGCAGUAAUUUUGGUUGGGAAUGCAGCCUUCCAAGUAGAUUGGCCAAAGGAGAAGAGAAAGGCAACUGAUUGAGAGGACUAAAAAACUUAUGAAGAAGCGGGUAUACUUCAGCCAGCAUGUCAAUUUCAUCCAUUUUUGUUUACGUUUUUAAAGCCAUCACAUACAUUUUGGGAAUGAAAACAGGUUUUCCUAAAGGAAAACGGAACCAGCUGGAGUAAUUAAGGUAAAAUACCACACCCCC
Molecule: long non-coding RNA, 332 nt
Organism: Pan paniscus (pygmy chimpanzee)
Lineage: Eukaryota; Metazoa; Chordata; Mammalia; Primates; Hominidae
Source: Ensembl